Molecule: non-coding RNA, 24 nt
Filed under: Arabidopsis thaliana (thale cress)
Lineage: Eukaryota; Viridiplantae; Streptophyta; Magnoliopsida; Brassicales; Brassicaceae
Source: RNAcentral
AUCCACACAUUUUUUGCAUACUGC